This 3004-nucleotide long non-coding RNA is filed under the name Equus caballus (horse). Its description in RNAcentral is "lncRNA (ENSECAG00000055115.1)". The record is from RNAcentral. Lineage: Eukaryota; Metazoa; Chordata; Mammalia; Perissodactyla; Equidae.
CUGAUUUCCAAAUGAAUUCACGUUUAUUGCAGAAAUUCUGUCAACUAUAGAAAAGCACACACACACAAAAUCAUCCAUUACCCGGUAUCCAGAGUUUUUUCUUCCUCUUCUUUUUAAGUUUUCUGUGAUAUGUUCGAAGAAAGCCAGAAAUGCUUGCGUCCAUGCCUACAGGUCACAGGCCAAUUAAACCAGAAACCGGAUCAUUCCACAGUCCAGAACGUGGAGAGACAAAGGUAUCAAGGAACCAGCUCUAGUUUCUGUUUCACUUCUUGACAUUCGAAAACAGUUAAUCACAUUCCUCUCUUGUCUACUGUGGGAGCGAAGAAAUAAAGCGAUUAGAUUGCCAGGUAUUCAAAGCAAGAAUGACGUGAAUCUGCAAGAGUCAGGAGGAAGCCAAGGCAGCUCCCUUGCGUCAGUUCAGAGAAGGUGAUUCCAGUGGCUGCUACUGAGAAGCAAAACCUUGCCUUCAGCACAGGCCUGGGCUAUUUUUAUGGAACUAGCAGCAUUUGACCUCGAGCUUCAGAGAUGGGUAGAAAUUGGAAGAUUUGAGAGGAGAGUAAAGAAGAUUGCAGAUGCUGGGACUUCUUAUCAUUAGGAGGAAGAGCUUGAGUUAAUACUUAUUGAGGAGCAUGACCACCUGACGGUAGUGAAGAGGAGAAGCAUUUUGCGUUCUUUGAGUGAAGUCACAGGAUGCAUCUGCCCAGGGAAUGUGCUGGGAACCAGCCUACCUUGAGAAGAGGUGCCAAAAGGAAAAAUGAGAAUAAAAGGUGUGGGCAUGUCAAGACCAUGUGAUGGGUUUCUCCAAAAGGUAAACAUAGAAUUGCCAUAUGAUCCAGCAAUUCCAGUUCUGGGUAUAGACUCCAAAGAAUUGAAGGCAGAGACUCAAACACAUCCCUGCGCACCAGUGUUCCUAGCAGCAUUAUUCACUAAAGGCAAAAAGUGGAAACAACUCAAAUGUCCAUAAACGGAAGAGUGCAUAAACAAAAUGUGGUUAUACAUACAGUGGAAUAUUAUCCAGCCUUAACAAAGAAGGAAAUUCGGAUAUAUGCUACAACAUGGAUGGAGCUUAAAAACAUUAUGCUAAGUGAAAUAAACCAGACACAAAAGAAAAAUAGUGUAUGAUUCCACUUAUAUGAGGUACCUAGAAUAGGCGAAUUCGUAGAGGCAGAAAGUAGAAUAGAGGUUAGCAGGGCCUGGGGGAGGGGAAGAUGAAGAGUUAUGGUUUGAUGGGUAGGGAAUUUCUGUUUGGGAAGAUGAAAAAAUUCUGAAAAUGGAUAGUGGUGAUGGUUGUACAAUAUUGUGAAUAUACUUAAUGCCACUGAGUCGUACACUUAAAAAUUGUUGAAAUGGUAAAUUUUGCGUUAUGUAUGUUUUACCACAAUUUUGUAAAAGUUACAUGUGAUGGAGGGUUAUUGAUGCUAGACUAGGGAGUCGGGGUUUGCCUACUAUCCCAAGACACAAGUCCUGAUGAGAAGGGAGGGCCAUCAAAAUGCUGUUCCAAGAAGACUGAUCAAUAGCAAUGAAGUAGAGAAGCUUGGACCAAUGCCAAGCACCGCCCCAGGGUGUGAACUUCAAACCAGUGAGGAUGUGGAAAUUCUAAGAGCCAGACAAAGGAAGAAUUCAGGGAAACUGUGAUUAUUGGAGGGAGAGAGAGAGGCAUUGGGAGAGCCAGACAAUUUUCGUGAUUUCAGCUUUUUUGCUCCUUACAAAAUAUUUGCUACAGUGGUUGAUUUCUAUUUUUUAACAAGCCAAGUAUUUCCUUCCUAAUAUUGCCUAAAUUUACCUUUCCAAUUGCUGCCAUAAAUAGAGCUCAUCAACCACAAAGUCUUCAGAAAAUCGUCAACCUCAGCCAACAAAUAGUACUCAACCCUAUGGAAAAAAGUGGGCAGUCAUGACUCAGGCAAAGCGACUCUGUUUUUCUGAAUGGAAAAAACAUUCCACGUUUUGAUCUUGACCAAGAACAUUACUGAAUGCAACUCUGAGGGGCUGGCCCCGUGGCCGAGUGGUUAAGUUCCCGCGCUCCGCUGCAGGUGGCCCAGUGUUUCGUUGGUUCGAAUCCUGGGCGUGGACAUGGCACUGCUCGUCAAACCACGCUGAGGCAGCAUCCCACAUACCACAACUAGAAGGACCCACAACGAAGAAUAUACAACCAUGUACGGGGGGGCUUUGGGGAGAAAAAGGAAAAAAAAAUAAAAUCUUUAAAAAAAAAAAAACCACCUUUUACAUCUUGGUGGAGGAGAUCACAAUAAAUAGAAUAAUAAAUAAACAAGAUAAUUAAUGACUGUGGUAACUACAAUGAAGGGAAAGAACAAGAGUGAGGAAGUCAAUAGAAACUGCAGAAGGCCACUUCAGAUAGGGUGUUCAAGGAUGUCCUUAGAAAGGGGUAACAUCUGAGCCUAAUCGUCCAGGAUGAGAAAGAGCCAACCAGCUUUCCCUUGGGGUGAGGGGGAGCAUCCUGGAGGAAUUCAAGUGCAAGGCCUGGGAGCACGUGUUCAAGAUAGAGAACAGAAGCUGGAGUGGCUGAAGUGGUGACUAUGAUAUUGGAUAGGUUUGCAGAGGCUGGCUCCAUGGCCUAGUGGUUAAGUUUGGUGUACUCCAUUUCUGCAACCCAGGUUCAAGGGUUUAGAUUCCAGGUGCAGACCUACACCACUCGUCAGCCUUGCUGUGGUGGUGACCCACAUAUAGAGUAGAGUAAGACUGGCACAGAUGUUAGCUCAGGGCUAAUCUUCCUCAAGCCAAAAAAAGAGGAAGAUUGGCAACAGAUGUUAGCUCAGGGCUAAUCUUCCUCACACAUACAAAAAAAGUUUGCAGAGCUGGCAGAAGCUAUAUCUUGCAGGACCUUGUAGACCAUGUAGAGGUGGUCAGAAGCCAUUGAAGAGUUUUAAGCAGGAGAAUAUGAUUUUAUUUACAUUUUUGAACAAUCACUCUGGCUGCUGUGAGGAGAAUGGAGGUAGAAGUGGAAGCAGAUUAGUGAGGAAGCUGCAAUGAUAAUCCAGAUAAGUGA